Molecule: long non-coding RNA, 1311 nt
Filed under: Equus asinus (donkey)
Lineage: Eukaryota; Metazoa; Chordata; Mammalia; Perissodactyla; Equidae
Description: lncRNA (ENSEASG00005031454.1)
Source: RNAcentral
CUAGAAUCAAAUGACCAGAUGAUCUCUAAGAGUCCUUCCUGCUCAGACGUUCUAAGGUUCUGAAAGUUGACAAUUCUCUGAAGGGCUGUAAAAGGGUUCACUUUUCAUAGUCCUUGAAGGGAAUUCAAAAGGUUUGGCGAGUAGAAAGGAGCAGCAAGAGGGAUUGAGGUUAGACACCAGGAGGGACUUCCCAAUUAUCAGUCGCUGGAAAAAAUGACUCAGGGGACACAGGAGGAAACCCCAGAGUCUGCGACCAGAGAGGAUAGAGCUGAGCAAGAAAGCAACCCCCUCCUCUCUCACCCUCCACAGCCCACACACCCACCCCCGCCCCUAAUUUCGAUAAGGGUUGGGGAAAGGGGCGGCAGAUUAUCUCUCAGGCUUUCUCUUGCAGGUGUGCAUGGCGCGUGGGUGUCCACGCACGAAGUCCCUCCUGGUGAGGAGCUCACGCGUGUCUCGGGGAAGUGUUUGCACUUGGAGGCCCUCCUGAGCGGAAUGGCUUCAGCUUGCAGAAGAACUUAAAAGGAAACCACAAGAAAGUCUCCCUCACCAGGCCCGGGUGGGAAUGGGUUGGUGGGAUUAUGGUGAGAGACUGCUAGCCUGGAAGCUCCCAGUUGCCUCAGUUUCUCUUCCCUCCACCCUCUUCUCACUUGGAGGUAACUCUAGCUGCCUUCUCCCAGGACAGGAAAGUGAAGGCAGGAAGCAGGAUGUUGAGUUCCAGGAGCUGGAAGGGGUACAAGAGCUUCAGAGUUGGGUUUGCGGAGGCCUGACACUGAGAUUCUUGAGGGGCUAGUGGGCCUCCAAGGGCAGCUAGGGAAGCUACAGGAGCUGUCCACUGAAAGAUAUAUGGUCUGGUUUCUCGGAAACUCCUGGAUCACACCGUUCCCUCUCCCGAGCACACACCCUGCCUGCUGAGCAGAGACAAUUUCUGGCCAAUCAUCUAUUUACUGUAAAGGCAGGGUCCCGCGGCUCCUCGUAGCUCUCCAGAGGCAGUGGGAGAUCUCAGAGAAGGCCUUCAGAGGGCUGGAGCUAGUAACUCUUGGGGAUUUCCAUUUCUUCCUUUGCUUCUAAAGGAGACCUUAUCUCCCAUCUCUCAGGACCUGUAAUCACCCUUUUCUCCCCCUUUACUGGCAAUCAGGGCCUGUUCUUGAGAAGUCCCUCUAUAUUAGAGGAAGAUCCUCUCCAUCUUAUCUGUUGCAGUGCUAAACCUGAACUCCUUUCUAGUCCUGGAAACAGUUGGUGCCUGAUUGCUCCCUGGUUUCUGAAUCCUCCUCAGAAACCAUAAGAGAAUGACCCUAAGACAUCAACCUCAUC